AACUAGUUAAUUAAUGAUAUACGUGACUCAUAAAUUAAACUGAUAGGCGAAAACACCUUUUCUAUUAUAUACAAGACAAGAUAAGAUUUUAAUAUUCGUAUGUAGCAUGCACCGACCAUCCUUAGCGUAAGUGGCAAAGAGUUUGAUGGUUGAUACCUGAUGUUUCAAGUUCCAAUUCUAAUUGAUUAGUAUUUCUAGCUAAGUUUAUUUCUAAAUAAAAUAAACGAAGCGAAUAGUAUGCUAUCUAUCUCUCAAAAGAAAAAAAAAUAUAUUCAUAACUUGUUUUCUAGAUAUAUAUU
Molecule: long non-coding RNA, 299 nt
Filed under: Ananas comosus (pineapple)
Lineage: Eukaryota; Viridiplantae; Streptophyta; Magnoliopsida; Poales; Bromeliaceae
Description: long non-coding RNA (ACOM_LNC020419)
Source: RNAcentral